UACGGAAGGCAGCGGUGGGGAAUAUUGCACAAUGGGCGCAAGCCUGAUGCAGCCAUGCCGCGUGUAUGAAGAAGGCCUUCGGGUUGUAAAGUACUUUCAGUCGUGAGGAAGGUGUUAAGGUUAAUAACCUUAGCAAUUGACGUUAGCGACAGAAGAAGCACCGGCUAACUCCGUGCCAGCAGCCGCGGUAAUACGGAGGGUGCGAGCGUUAAUCGGAAUUACUGGGCGUAAAGGGCACGCAGGCGGUUAAUUAAGUUGGAUGUGAAAUCCCCGGGCUUAACCUGGGAAUGGCAUUCAAGACUGGUUAGCUAGAGUCUUGUAGAGGGGGGUAGAAUUCCAUGUGUAGCGGUGAAAUGCGUAGAGAUGUGGAGGAAUACCGGUGGCGAAGGCGGCCCCUGGACAAAGCUGACGCUCAUGCGCGAAAGCGUGGGGAGCAAACAGGGAUUAGAUACC
This 453-nucleotide ribosomal RNA is filed under the name uncultured bacterium. RNAcentral describes it as "bacterial SSU rRNA". It matches the Rfam family "Bacterial small subunit ribosomal RNA", at positions 340 to 786 of the family's 1533-position model. The record is from RNAcentral.